Molecule: ribosomal RNA, 253 nt
Filed under: uncultured bacterium
Lineage: Bacteria
Description: partial 16S ribosomal RNA
Rfam family: Bacterial small subunit ribosomal RNA
Source: RNAcentral
UACGAGAGGCCCAAACGUUAUUCGGAUUUACUGGGCUUAAAGAGUUCGUAGGCGGUGCGGUAAGUGGGGUGUGAAAGCCCUCGGCUCAACCGAGGAAUUGCGCUCCAAACUACCACACUCGAGGGAGAUAGAGGUGAGCAGAACUGAUGGUGGAGCGGUGAAAUGCGUAGAUAUCAGGAGGAAUACCGAUGGCGAAGGCAGGUCUCUGGGCUGACACUGACGCUCAUGCACGAAAGCGUGGGGAGCAAACAGG